CUGAAAUUCGCCUUCAUGAAGUCGGAAUUGCUAGUAAUGGCAGGUCAGCAUACUGCCGUGAAUACGUUCCCGGGCCUUGUACACACCGCCCGUCACACCAUGAGAGUUGGAGAUACCCCGAAGUCCGUAGCCUAACCGCAAGGGGGGCGCGGCCGAAGGUGGGUUCGAUAAUUGGGGUGAAGUCGUAACAAGGUAUC
This 197-nucleotide ribosomal RNA is filed under the name uncultured bacterium. RNAcentral's name for it is "partial 16S ribosomal RNA". It matches the Rfam family "Bacterial small subunit ribosomal RNA", at positions 1305 to 1500 of the family's 1533-position model. The record is from RNAcentral.